GCGGACGUGGUGCAGGGUGCACAGCUGUUAAUCAUAAGGCUUAUGUUCGGAAUUCAGACAGCAACCGGGGUUCGACUCCCUGCCUCCGCA
Mycena rebaudengoi is the source of this 90-nucleotide non-coding RNA. The record is from the annotation of a GenBank genome assembly. NCBI's taxonomy places the organism in Eukaryota, Fungi, Basidiomycota, Agaricomycetes, Agaricales, Mycenaceae.